Molecule: long non-coding RNA, 7553 nt
Filed under: Cricetulus griseus (Chinese hamster)
Lineage: Eukaryota; Metazoa; Chordata; Mammalia; Rodentia; Cricetidae
Description: lncRNA (ENSCGRG00015030091.1)
Source: RNAcentral
AAAAUCCCCAAAUAUUGUUUAUAAAUGUUUAUUUCCAUUUAAAUGGGGUUGAUUAUAGAUGGUAAUGAUUACAGUCAAUCUCUUUUUAAAGAGAAUGAUGAAUUCUCUUCAGUAGCAUUGGUUUUUGUUGUUGUUGUUGUUGUUGUUGUUUUCCUUUGCUUUGCUGAGAUAGUUAGAGGCCUAGAGAGCAUUUCUUUAACAGACAUCCUUAUGUAUCAUGAGCAUCAAAUACCAUUUCCUGAGAAAGUCAUCAAACUUACACCUGAUUAUGUGUCUUCCCAGUCCACUGCAGAGAUCUCAGACUGACUCAAUAGCUCCCACCAUCCUUUAAAAGCCAGCACAGAAGUGAUUCUCAGUUACUUCCACACCUCUCAUGGCAGUAACGAUGUACAGACCAGGCUGUAAAGCACUGUGAAUGAGGUGGGUCCACAGCAGUUAUAAAAUUGCCCUGUGAGCUGGUUCUGCACUGGGGGGUCAUUAAGGUUCCCAUUUCAAGAACAUCCCUCGCCCUCUGGCCACAUCGGGAUAAACACAGCAUUCUCCAUGGGCUCUAUCUCUCUGCCCAGCUGUGACUUAAAGAGUUUAUUUCUAGGUACUCCAGGCAUUUCAUUGCAGCCCACUUCCACCUCCACCCUCAGCUGACAACCGGAGACACUCAGUAAUUAUCAGCAGUCUUCACUUGCAAUGAUUCUCUACCACACUAAAUACAAAUACGGAUAGUGUGGGCACAAAAUCCUCUGUAAAUUCUGAUACUGGGAAACUAAGUAGUUCUGUAGAAAAUGGUUGGAUUAAGAGAUUUUUUCAAGAAUUGAGGCCAUAGUGUUGAAUAACUUUUGGGGGUAACCUAUGCAUAAAUCCUGGGACUGUUCAUUUUGAGAGACAUUACAAACCUUAGCUGCUGACUUGUCUUAGUUAGGGUUUCUAUUGCUGUAAAGAGACACCAUGACCACAGCAACUCUUCUAAAGGAAAACAUUUAAUUGGGGCUGGCUUCCAGAUUCAGAGGCUUAGUCCAUAUUGUUACAGUGAGAAGCAUGGCAGCAUGCAGGCAGACAUGGUGCUGGAGAGGUGUCUGAGAGUUCUACAUCUUGAUUCACAGGAAGCAGGAAGAGACUAUGAGCCACAGUGUAACUUGAGUAUAUGGGACCUCAAAAACUGUCCCACAGUGACACACUUCUUCCAACAAGGCCACACCUACAUCAAUAAGGCCAUACUCCCUAAUACUGCCACUCCCUAUGGGCCAAGUAUUCAAACAUAUGAAUCUACAUGGCCAUUCCUAUCGAAACCACCAUAUUCCACUUUCUGGCACCCCUAGGCUUGUAGCCAUACCAUAAUACGGAAAUGCAUUCAGUCUAACUUCACAAGUCUGCACAGUCUAUAAUUGUCUCAAAUUUGCUUAAAAUUCCAAAGUUCAAAGUCUCUUCUGAGACUCGUGCAAUCUCUUAACUGUAAUCCCCUGCAAAACAAUGAAGAAGCAGAUCACAUACUUCCAACAUUUAAUGGCACAGGAUAUACAUUAUUGUUCCAAAAUGGAGAAAAGGGAGCAUAGUGAAAUAUUGGCCACAACACACACUAUCCACACAGACACUCUGCAACCCAGACAGGUACAGGUAGCAUCAUGAACACCCCAAGGUAUUCUUUCUCCAGAGAGAAGGAACAAGAAGAACCACUGGAAAAGCAGCAGAUCUGGAGAGGAAGAAAGUGUCAGGUUGCUAGGAACCUGGCCUAUCUGGCUGAUGGAUAUGGAAUCUUCUUAUGAUGGGAAAGGCCAGGUUAAAUAUCCCUUUCUGGGGAUAUUCUUCAGGCAGUAGGCUAGAAGAAAAACAAAAUUAACCAAGAUUUCUUGAAUACAGCAGUAUGUUUUAUGAAGCAGUUGUCCUUGUUUGUAGGUGAAGCAAAGCCUUGAUGUUUGCAGGCACCCUGUGAUCCAGGUAGUAUUUACUCUUAGCUGGAAGCAACAAUAUACUAAAGGCAGAAUCAGCCAUUGUGUGCUGAGAGCAUGGGCACAGUCCUUCAAGAAGCGGGAAAGUGGGGAGCAUCGAGUGACCAAACCAAUGGUAGACAGGACAUGGAGCCCAGUUCUGAACACAUUGGAUGAUUGGGACCACUUCCUGGUUGGCCUUUGCUACACAGAGUAGCAGGAGUUGAUUAUAUUGGUUACAUUUUUCAUUGUUACGACAAAAAUACCUGACUAAAACAAUUUAAAGAAAAGAUGAGUUUAAUUAAGUUUUCAGUUUGAGUAGAGAUAUAGUCCAUCAUUGCAGGGAAGUCAUGAUGGCAGGACCACGAGGGGACUAGUCACACAGUGUCUACUGUUAGGAAACAAAGUGAUGACUUCUGGUCACCAACUGAUUUCCCUAUUUUCCCCCAUUAUAUUCAGUCUAGAACCUCAGCCCAUGGCAUGGUGGCACCCACAUUUAGCAUGGACCUUCCCUCUUAAGAUAGUUCAGUCUUGCCAGGCAUUGGUGGCACACGCCUUUAAUCCCAGCACUUGGGAGGCAGAGGCAGGCGGAUCUCUCUGAGUUUGAGACCAGCUUGGUCUACAAGAGCUAGUUCCAGGGCAGCCUCCAAAGCCACAGAGAAACCCUGUCUCGAAAAACAAAAAACAAAACAAAACAAAACAAAAACAAAAAAGAUAGUUCAAUCUUUCUGGAAACACUGCAUCUAUAUGGCCCCAACACUUGUUUUCAGAGUGAUUCUAAUCACUGGAGACCUUGCUUUACUAAAUAUUUUCAGCACCAGACAGGGUGCAGUGGGGCAGGGCCUCCUCACUCACCCAUGUCCGAGGUGUCAUUUUGGAAGGUUGAUGGCUGGGUGUUAGAAUCAUGUGGCAACAUUUUCAAACACAAGUCUGGUGAUGGGAGAAGACCUUUAUGUUUCUCUUAUUGGUUGAUGAAUAAAACACUGUUGGCCAAUAAGGCAUGAAAAUAGGUGGAACUAGGAGGACGAGAAUUCUGGGAAAGUCAAGCAGAGUGAGCCCGCUACACAGUCUCGAUGCUGCUGAAGAAGUAACACCAUGCCGGGCAUUACCGGGUAAGCCACAGCCUCGUAGUAAUACAUAGAUUGAUAGAAAUGGGUUAAUAAUUAAGACAGAGGUAGCCAAUAAGAAGCCCAAGCCACUGGCCAACAGUUUCAUAAUUAAUAUAGCAUCUGUGUGUUUAUUUGGGGGAUCACGAGGCUGUGGGACCAGGCUGACAGGAAGAACCAUCCAAAUAGCUUUUAUUUGAAGUCUGAGCCUAUCCAUGUGGUCUACCCAUGUGUCAAUCCCAGGCCAUGGAAUGAUUUCAGUGGAAGAUUAGGCUCCAAGAAGCCAGUCCAGUCUCUAUGCUCAUUCAACCUGGAGCUGAGUUUUACUUCCAUCAUUUGGAGUAGUCUGUCUGGGAAACUGUGUUCACCUGGCUCAACUUCCUUGACCUUAAGAUCCUUCCGUUUUAAAUCCAGACUUCAGUUUAUUGAGGUGUCACUUAGAGUCACUCCUUGUAAGUGGUAGAUUUUGACGAACAUACCCAUCAACACAGCGUAACUACAGCCCUUGCAUUUUCUGCUCAGAAUAACGUUUUCCCAUUCCUAUUAUUUUGAAGUUUCCAGAUCCUCAUUUAUGAAACAAGGCUGACUUUUUUCAUACUCCUGAGUACAGCCAACAUGUUAAAAUGUAAGGUUUUAAUUGUGAUAAAAUUCACAACUUUCUUCUUUUACGAAUUAUACAUUUGGUGUCUUUUCUACAAAAUCUUUUGUUAGACAAAAGAUCACAAAUUCUUUCUCUUAAGUUCUUUUUCAGAUUUUUCUUUGCUUUAAUUUUAUUUUGAAACUCAUUUGUGUGAGUGUACCUGUCACAGUGUGUGUGGAGGUCAGAGACAACUUUCAUGAGUUGUGUUACCCACACCAGCCUAUAAAUUUGUUGAAGUGAAUUGAAUCUCUCAGAAUACAUGGGUGUAUUAAAGCCACAUCAAGAAACCCAGGUCCCGAUAUGUAGUUGACACAAUGCACCAAGGGAAGGGUGUAACUCCCUCACCUGCACCCAGGAAGAAAUGCACCGCUAGUACUACGAUGGCAGCUGCCCCCAGUGACGGAUCAUCUGACCUCCUGGGUGUGAGUCGAGGGAUCAACAGGCAGAGAAUUCCCAGCAGUCACAAGGGCUUCCACAUGACUUUGUUCCGAAAGUUGAUGUGGUCUGUCCACUGCUUUGUCCAUCCUCCUGCUUAUCUGUGUGGACCUGUCUGGACUCAUUUGUCUCUAGACCCAGCCUCACCUUUCACUUCCCCAAUAGGAUUCAACUUCACAGCUCAACCAGCAGUCCGUAUGUGACUCUAAGGUAGCUAUGACUGUUUCUCCAGCUGCUGCGGUCAGCUAUCUCACCCAUCUGGCCCUAUCUGCAUGUCUAUCACUUUCCCUGUUUCUUGGGACUUCAGAAACCUCUUAAACUCUGCUGCAGUCUCAGAACUCUUUGUAGUCAGUCACUUUGUCACUAUAUAUAUAUAUAUAUAUAUAUAUAUAUAUAUAUAUAUUGUGAAAUAUGUAAUGUGUGACCUGAGAGUUAAUAUUAGUAAUUAAGUUUUCAUUAUUGUUAGUUUUAGACAAGUUAAUAUACUCUUAUACAUACCUGGGAAGAGAGAAUCACAAAUGAGUAAUUGUCUCUGUCAGAUUGGCCUGUGGGUAUGCCUGUGUGGCAUUUUCUUGAUUGCUGCUUGGUGUAGAGGGGCCCAGACCUACCAUGGGGCAGUGCCAAACCUGGGCAGGUGGUCUUGGGUUCUAUGAGAAAACAAGCUGAGCAAGCCACAAAUAAGCAAACUAAUAAACAAAUUUCCUGCAGGGCCUCUGCUUCAGUUUCUGCCAUUGUGUCCCUGCCUUGAGUUCCUGCCCUGACUUCCCUCAGUGUAGACUGUGAUGGGAAAAUAAUGUGUAAUGAUAUGUAAGGUGAAUAAACCUUUUCCUCCCCAAAUUGCUUUUUAGUCAAGAUGUUUUAUCACAGCAGAAGAAAACAGGACAGAUUGAAAUUCUAAACACCCUGUUUGCCUCGACAUAUUGUCAAGGAAAAACAGACCAUGUGGCAAAUUGCUGUCAAAAAAAAAAUCAUCGACCCUUGCAAAUUUGUUAUGCAAUAAAUUCUGACACUGUGGGAUGACACGAACAUGUUCAUCUGUGUUUCUGGCAUAGUAGUUGCAUGACCUUCAGUGCACAUAUUUAUUUCAAAAUCUGACAAAAUGGCAAUUAUGUGCCCAAAGAACUGUGUGUUAGCCAUUCCCCAGGGACACUGUCACUGCAGCAUGGGAGAGUCCUGUGAGUGAACAGCCCCCUUCAGAGUUACAAGGUUAGUGAUGCUGCUUCUACUAGGGGCUAUUUUCAGCUGCUCAGUAUCUGGCCAGCAGAACCCAAAGCCCCUGAGCACGGAUGCAGUCUUUUGAGUAGCCUCCACUGAAUAAGUGUUUGUGGAAUGGAUGAGUGGAGGUCCCACAGGGCCAUGCAUUUAUCAUUGUGCUCAGAAUCUUGCACUAGCUCAUUCCUUAUCCUGCCUUUGCAGACACUGUUUCAAUGGGGAAAAUAAGCCUUCAGCCAGGAGGCACCAUUAUCUCCCUUGCUUCAUCCAACCUCUGCUGUGAAAGGCACAGAGCUAAGAAGAAGCAUGCAGCAUCUUUCUGCACAGGAUUUGGGCCCUUUCAGUGUUGUGUUGUUGAAGUGUCUGCAUGCCAGAUAAUGUGGUUAGUCAAUGAGCUUCUAGACACAUCUAUGGUGUCCUUCAGGCUUAAGGGAAGCAGUUGAAGGUUGCUUACCAAAAUUACUCAUACAUUCUGAUACUUAAUACCCAAAUGAAACUCUGGCAGGUACCUGCUCCUGUUUAUUGUGAGAAUCCAUUGGCCCCCUGAACACACCUGAGCUUUGGCAUUCUCUAGCUACCCCGCUAUUUAUUCUUAGAAGUUAUCUGGAGGCUGGAAUGGAGUCAUGACAGAAUAUGGUCCAAUACAAGAGGCAGCCUGUAUUGUUUGCACAAGGAAGAGCAUCGUUAUUUCAAGGCAUCAGAAUACUUAUAGUCCACAGCACCUCAAUGUGCCAGCCUGUGAGGAGGCCAGGUCUCUUCUGGACAGUUGGCCACAGUCUCUGGACUCUGGGAAAAUGUAGAGAAUGACAUCUUUCUCUGUGCCUGACCCAUGAUUCAACUGUAAUCUUAGGGCAGGUACCUUAGCCUAUGUAGCGCCAACAAGGCAGACUCAACCACCUCUUGAAUAUACUAGUUUAAAAAGGAAGUAAUGAUGAAAACCAGAGAGUGGAGAAUCAGUCAGUGGGGCCAACUGAGAAGAACAGAUGAAGGAGCCCAGAGACUAAGUUUAUCUUUGGGGUACAGACACGAGCUUAGGCUUAAACAUAGAAAGAACUGGAGUAUACAUUAGUCAUCCUGGACAAAGCGUGGUUCUAUUCAUCAGUAUCUCAGCCACCAUCUUGCAAGCUUGAGUGUUCAUGUCUGUCAUCCUCUGAGAGUGAUGCUUGUGUAGAGCUCAUCAUCUUCAUCACAGAUCACUGCUCUCAUCCUAGGGGUCUAUCCUGACCUUCCUCACGUAGAGGUGGCUUCAGUCCUUUGUCACAAAGAUGUUGAUUGACCUAUCCUUCUGUUCUUGGAACCCGAGCUGUCUCAAGAGCUGCAAGCCUACAGUUUUCCAGGAAUUUCACCCAGAAAUCCCAUGUACAGCCACGAACCCUGAACUGGCCUGAAUCGAGGUCCCUAAAGGAUGAAGAAAACUCAUCAGGCUGUCAAGAGUGACUUUGGGGUAACCUGAAUCCAUCUUUGAGUUCCAUCUGUUGCAGAUUUGGAAAUAUGGAAGGUGUUUGGGGAAACGCCGAAGAGCAUGUGUCUUGGAACAGCAGAGUCCUCCUUGCUCAUAGCCUCUCUGGGAUCACCCUAUUUUCCUCCCAGCAUCCUUUGCAUCUUCUACAGCUGUUUUCUAUUUAAUCUGGUGUUUGCCAUUGUUGUCCACAGAAUGGUUUGCCAACACAAGCUGUUCCCCUAUUGGAGACUGGAACCUAUGAUUUAAUUCAAAAGACAGAUGGAGCUCAGACUCUACAUCAGAGUCUUAACUGAGACCAUCUGGGUGUGCAUCCCUGCCUGCCAUGCUUGGCUCUGAGGUCCUGGCCACUCUUUCUUAAUUCUGAUAUCCUCAGCUGCAAAAUAGAGGGAUGGUUAUCUGGAAGACACAAAAGUCUCCCCGAAGAUGGAGUAAAUGGGUGCAUGUGCAUCUCCUAGGGUACAUCUCCUAGGAUGGCAGUGCUGCAUUGGUGACUAACUCCUGCCCAUCACCAUCCCUGGGGCAAGCUCUUCUUUUCUACUACAAACAAAAAACAACAGCAAAGCCUGUCUCUGUCUUUACCUGCUCUUCUAACUGAAUUCUGGAACAAGAGACUGGUUAAUUAUCACAUUAAAGUUAUUCCUAUCCCAACACACUGCACUGCAGAUAAAUGAGUGUGUAUGCAUGCAUGCAUGCUUGUGUGUUUAUUUAAUUAUACAUAUAUACACAUACAUACUUAUGUAUACAUGUAUGUGUGUGGGGUGUGUGUGUGUGUGUGUGUG